This 301-nucleotide ribosomal RNA is filed under the name uncultured bacterium. RNAcentral's name for it is "partial 16S ribosomal RNA". It matches the Rfam family "Bacterial small subunit ribosomal RNA", at positions 509 to 807 of the family's 1533-position model. The record is from RNAcentral.
CAGUAGCCGCGGUAAUACGAAGGGUGCAAGCGUUACUCGGAAUUACUGGGCGUAAAGCGUGCGUAGGUGGUGGUUUAAGUCCGUUGUGAAAGCCCUGGGCUCAACCUGGGAAUUGCAGUGGAUACUGGGUCACUAGAGUGUGGUAGAGGAUAGUGGAAUUUCCGGUGUAGCAGUGAAAUGCGUAGAGAUCGGAAGGAACAUCUGUAGCGAAGGCGACUAUCUGGGCCAACACUGACACUGAGGCACGAAAGCGUGGGGAGCAAACAGGAUUAGAUACCCGCGUAGUCCCUGUCUCUUAUAC